AUUGAACGCUGGCGGCAGGCCUAACACAUGCAAGUCGAACGAGUGGCGGACGGGUGGGUAAUGUCUGGGCAACUGCCUGAUGGAGGGGGUUCGCUACUGGAAACGGUUGCUAAUAACGCAUACCCUAGGAUGUGCCCAGGUGGGAUUAGCGUGUUGUGGGGGUAACGGCCUACCAAGGCGACUAUCCCUAACUGGUUUGAGAGGAUGAACAGCCACACUGGAACUGAGACACGGUCCAGACUCCUACGGGAGGCAGCAUUGGGGAAUAGUGCACAAUGGGCGCAAGCCUGAUGCAGCCAUGCCGCGUGUAUGAAGAAGGCCUUCGGGUUGUAAAGUACUUUCAGUGGGGAGGCGUUACCCGCAGAAGAAGCACCGGCUAACUUCGUGCCAGCAGCCGCGGUAAUAC
RNAcentral lists this ribosomal RNA (406 nucleotides) under uncultured bacterium. Its description in RNAcentral is "partial 16S ribosomal RNA". It matches the Rfam family "Bacterial small subunit ribosomal RNA", at positions 30 to 526 of the family's 1533-position model. The record is from RNAcentral.